Molecule: non-coding RNA, 76 nt
Organism: Nematostella vectensis (starlet sea anemone)
Lineage: Eukaryota; Metazoa; Cnidaria; Anthozoa; Actiniaria; Edwardsiidae
Source: Rfam
CGAUAACUCAGUUGGUAGAGCGGGGGACUGUAGAUUUAUAAUUGUGAUCCCUAGAUGCUGGGUCGAAUCCGGCUCG